GACGAACGCUGGCGGCGUGCCUAAUACAUGCAAGUAGAACGCUGAAGGAGGAGCUUGCUUCUCUGGAUGAGUUGCGAACGGGUGAGUAACGCGUAGGUAACCUGCCUGGUAGCGGGGGAUAACUAUUGGAAACGAUAGCUAAUACCGCAUAAUAGUAGAUGUUGCAUGACAUUUGCUUAAAAGGUGCAAUUGCAUCACUACCAGAUGGACCUGCGUUGUAUUAGCUAGUUGGUGGGGUAACGGCUCACCAAGGCGACGAUACAUAGCCGACCUGAGAGGGUGGUCGGCCACACUGGGACGAAGACACGGCCCAGACUCCUACGGGAGGCAGCAGGAGGGAAUCUUGGGCAAUGGACGGAAGUCUGACCGAGCAACGCCGCGUGAGUGAAGAAGGUUGUCGGAUCGGAAAGCUCGGUUGUAAGAGAAGAACGAGUGUGAGAGUGGAAAGUUCACACUGUGACGGUAUCUGACCAGAAAGGGACGGCUAACUACGUG
Molecule: ribosomal RNA, 495 nt
Filed under: uncultured bacterium
Lineage: Bacteria
Description: partial 16S ribosomal RNA
Rfam family: Bacterial small subunit ribosomal RNA
Source: RNAcentral